AAUGGGAUGCGAACCCGCGAGGGGGAGCAAAUCUGAGCAAACCCGAUCUCAGUUCGGAUUGGAGGCUGCAACCCGCCUCCAUGAA
This 85-nucleotide ribosomal RNA is filed under the name uncultured soil bacterium. Its description in RNAcentral is "partial 16S ribosomal RNA". It matches the Rfam family "Bacterial small subunit ribosomal RNA", at positions 1241 to 1324 of the family's 1533-position model. The record is from RNAcentral.